This 254-nucleotide ribosomal RNA is filed under the name uncultured bacterium. RNAcentral describes it as "partial 16S ribosomal RNA". It matches the Rfam family "Bacterial small subunit ribosomal RNA", at positions 524 to 776 of the family's 1533-position model. The record is from RNAcentral.
UACGUAGGGGGGCAAGCGUUGUCCGGAAUCAUUGGGCGUAAAGCGCGUGUAGGCGGCCCGGUAAGUCCGCUGUGAAAGUCGGGGGCUCAACCCUCGAAUGCCGGUGGAUACUGUCGGGCUAGAGUGCGGGAGAGGCGAGUGGAAUUCCUGGUGUAGCGGUGAAAUGCGCAGAUAUCAGGAGGAACACCAAUUGCGAAGGCAGCUCGCUGGAACGUAACUGACGCUGAGACGCGAAAGCGUGGGGAGCAAACAGG